CCUACGGGUGGCAGCAGUAGGGAAUAUUGCUCAAUGGGGGAAAGCCUGAAGCAGCAAAGCCGCGUGGAGGAUGAAGGUUUUCGGAGUGUAAACCCCUUUUGUUAGAGAAGCUAAUGAAGGUAUCUAACGAAUAAGCACUGGUUAAUUCCGUGCCAGCAGCCGCGGUCACACGGAAGGUGCAAGCGGUACUCCGGAUCACUGGGGGUUAAGGGCGCGUAAGUUGGAUAGAAAGUCAGGUGUGAAAUACUAGGGCUUAACCAUAGAACUGCAGUUGAAACUGUUGUUCUAGAGUGUGGGAGAAGUAUGUGGAAUGCGUGGUGUAGGGGUGAAAUGCAUAGAGAUCAAGAAGAAUACUGAUUGCGAAGGCAGCCUACUGGAGCAUAACUGACGCUGAAGCACGAAAGCGUGGGGAGCGAACAGGAUUAGAUACCCCAGUAGUC
Molecule: ribosomal RNA, 440 nt
Filed under: uncultured bacterium
Lineage: Bacteria
Description: partial 16S ribosomal RNA
Rfam family: Bacterial small subunit ribosomal RNA
Source: RNAcentral